This 750-nucleotide long non-coding RNA is filed under the name Helianthus annuus (common sunflower). RNAcentral's name for it is "hypothetical non coding rna". The record is from RNAcentral. Lineage: Eukaryota; Viridiplantae; Streptophyta; Magnoliopsida; Asterales; Asteraceae.
AUGUCAAAUAGUGUGGGACGACAUAUGGUAUCCACAUCUAUUGUUCCUGUAGGCCUGUCCCUACAGUUUGUCAAGGUGGUCCCUAUUGGUGGUUUAGUUUUUUGAGUGUCGGCGACAGUCCUGGCGACACUCAGUGUCGCAAGGCUUCAAGAUGUUUGUAUAGGGAGUCUGUCUUCGGCACAAGUGUAAGCCCUAAGAUGCCUUUGUUGCUCGCACCACUGACAUGAUGACAGUGUUGCUGAGCGGUAUCACUUAUGAACAACACUAUCGACAAUCCCCCGGCAACACUAACACGGUGUCAAGGGUGUCCGUGGUGGUUCAAUUGUUGAUUACUAGCGACACUUAAGGAAGACACUCAUAAGUGUCACCAGACGGCAUUGACGCCCAUGACCGUUCAAGUGUUGAUACUCACUUGGGAACAAAGUCGAAGUUGACGUAGCCAAAGUCAACCCAUAAGUCAACAUCAGAAGAUUGAAGAUUGAGCGAAGGAUUGUCGGGUGAAUUCAAGAUAUGAAGGAACGUAACUUGUGGUUGAAGAAAUAUACUUUUCUUGGACAAAAUAUAUAUAAACAUAUAGUUUUCUUGUUUAAGUGAUAGUUUUAGUGAGUUUUUAUCUCUAGGGACUUAAAGUGUAAUUAGCCUAAUUAUGUUUAGGCUAUAAACAGUAAGAGAGAUUAGGGUUUUAGGUAACACAAACAUUAGGAAUUUUUGUGGGUUCAUUGUAAACUUCUUAUGCAAAAUCUGUUUUGG